Molecule: ribosomal RNA, 1340 nt
Filed under: Staphylococcus aureus R0487
Lineage: Bacteria; Bacillati; Bacillota; Bacilli; Caryophanales; Staphylococcaceae
Description: bacterial LSU rRNA
Rfam family: Bacterial large subunit ribosomal RNA
Source: RNAcentral
GUAGCGAAAGCGAGUCUGAAUAGGGCGUUUAGUAUUUGGUCGUAGACCCGAAACCAGGUGAUCUACCCUUGGUCAGGUUGAAGUUCAGGUAACACUGAAUGGAGGACCGAACCGACUUACGUUGAAAAGUGAGCGGAUGAACUGAGGGUAGCGGAGAAAUUCCAAUCGAACCUGGAGAUAGCUGGUUCUCUCCGAAAUAGCUUUAGGGCUAGCCUCAAGUGAUGAUUAUUGGAGGUAGAGCACUGUUUGGACGAGGGGCCCCUCUCGGGUUACCGAAUUCAGACAAACUCCGAAUGCCAAUUAAUUUAACUUGGGAGUCAGAACAUGGGUGAUAAGGUCCGUGUUCGAAAGGGAAACAGCCCAGACCACCAGCUAAGGUCCCAAAAUAUAUGUUAAGUGGAAAAGGAUGUGGCGUUGCCCAGACAACUAGGAUGUUGGCUUAGAAGCAGCCAUCAUUUAAAGAGUGCGUAAUAGCUCACUAGUCGAGUGACACUGCGCCGAAAAUGUACCGGGGCUAAACAUAUUACCGAAGCUGUGGAUUGUCCUUUGGACAAUGGUAGGAGAGCGUUCUAAGGGCGUUGAAGCAUGAUCGUAAGGACAUGUGGAGCGCUUAGAAGUGAGAAUGCCGGUGUGAGUAGCGAAAGACGGGUGAGAAUCCCGUCCACCGAUUGACUAAGGUUUCCAGAGGAAGGCUCGUCCGCUCUGGGUUAGUCGGGUCCUAAGCUGAGGCCGACAGGCGUAGGCGAUGGAUAACAGGUUGAUAUUCCUGUACCACCUAUAAUCGUUUUAAUCGAUGGGGGGACGCAGUAGGAUAGGCGAAGCGUGCGAUUGGAUUGCACGUCUAAGCAGUAAGGCUGAGUAUUAGGCAAAUCCGGUACUCAUUAAGGCUGAGCUGUGAUGGGGAGAAGACAUUGUGUCUUCGAGUCGUUGAUUUCACACUGCCGAGAAAAGCCUCUAGAUAGAAAAUAGGUGCCCGUACCGCAAACCGACACAGGUAGUCAAGAUGAGAAUUCUAAGGUGAGCGAGCGAACUCUCGUUAAGGAACUCGGCAAAAUGACCCCGUAACUUCGGGAGAAGGGGUGCUCUUUAGGGUUAACGCCCAGAAGAGCCGCAGUGAAUAGGCCCAAGCGACUGUUUAUCAAAAACACAGGUCUCUGCUAAACCGUAAGGUGAUGUAUAGGGGCUGACGCCUGCCCGGUGCUGGAAGGUUAAGAGGAGUGGUUAGCUUCUGCGAAGCUACGAAUCGAAGCCCCAGUAAACGGCGGCCGUAACUAUAACGGUCCUAAGGUAGCGAAAUUCCUUGUCGGGUAAGUUCCGACCCGCACGAAAGGCGUAACGAU